UGCUCGGCUCCGGCCUCCGGCGGCCCCGUCCCCGACUCCCCGGCGCCGCGGCGCACCCCAUCCCCGGCAGCACUGCUACAUCCUCCAGGCCCCGCAUCGCCUAUUCGCCUCGGGCCCUCGCCCCUCGGCUCCCGCAGGCCGCAGCUCGCACAGUCGCAGGGCGCAGCGGCGCAGCCACUGGCUCCAAGCCGGCCACGCCCGGUGCGGAGGCGCCCAAUCCUAGUCAAAUCUCGACCCAGAUUCUUGGAUUUGUGAAGUAUGAAGAGGGAUGGAGACAUUGCUUCUAUGUUCCGAAAGCAUGCUGCAA
Molecule: long non-coding RNA, 307 nt
Organism: Panicum virgatum (switchgrass)
Lineage: Eukaryota; Viridiplantae; Streptophyta; Magnoliopsida; Poales; Poaceae
Exons: 2
Source: RefSeq, a predicted model, not a curated record